AUGCAUGUCUAAGUAUAAGCACUUUAUACUGUGAAACUGCGAAUGGCUCAUUAAAUCAGUUAUCGUUUAUUUGAUAGUACCUUACUACAUGGAUACCUGUGGUAAUUCUAGAGCUAAUACAUGCUAAAAACCUCGACUUCGGAAGGGGUGUAUUUAUUAGAUAAAAAACCAAUGCCCUUCGGGGCUCCUUGGUGAUUCAUAAUAACUUAACGAAUCGCAUGGCCUUGCGCCGGCGAUGGUUCAUUCAAAUUUCUGCCCUAUCAACUUUCGAUGGUAGGAUAGUGGCCUACCAUGGUGGCAACGGGUAACGGGGAAUUAGGGUUCGAUUCCGGAGAGGGAGCCUGAGAAACGCUACCACAUCCAAGGAAGGCAGCAGGCGCGCAAAUUACCCAAUCCCGACACGGGGAGGUAGUGACAAUAAAUACUGAUACGGGGCUCUUUUGGGUCUCGUAAUUGGAAUGAGUACAAUCUAAAUCCCUUAACGAGGAACAAUUGGAGGGCAAGUCUGGUGCCAGCAGCCGCGGUAAUUCCAGCUCCAAUAGCGUAUAUUAAAGUUGUUGCAGUUAAAAAGCUCGUAGUUGAACCUUGGGUCUGGCUGGCCGGUCCGCCUCACCGCGAGUACUGGUCCGGCUGGACCUUUCCUUCUGGGGAACCUCAUGGCCUUCACUGGCUGUGGGGGGAACCAGGACUUUUACUGUGAAAAAAUUAGAGUGUUCAAAGCAGGCCUUUGCUCGAAUACAUUAGCAUGGAAUAAUAGAAUAGGACGUGCGGUUCUAUUUUGUUGGUUUCUAGGACCGCCGUA
This 802-nucleotide ribosomal RNA is filed under the name Babesia sp. spanish dog. Its description in RNAcentral is "SSU rRNA". It matches the Rfam family "Eukaryotic small subunit ribosomal RNA", at positions 51 to 864 of the family's 1831-position model. The record is from RNAcentral. Lineage: Eukaryota; Apicomplexa; Aconoidasida; Piroplasmida; Babesiidae.